GCUGGCGGCGUGCCUAACACAUGCAAGUCGAACGAGAAAGUGGAGCAAUCCAUGAGUAAAGUGGCGACCGGGUGAGUAACACGUGACUAACCUACCCUCGAGUGGGGAAUAACUCCGGGAAACCGGGGCUAAUACCGCAUAACAUCGCAAGAUCAAAGCAGCAAUGCGCUUGAGGAGGGGGUCGCGGCUGAUUAGCUAGUUGGCGGGGUAACGGCCCACCAAGGCGAAGAUCGGUAUCCGGCCUGAGAGGGCGCACGGACACACUGGAACUGAAACACGGUCCAGACUCCUACGGGAGGCAGCAGUGGGGAAUUUUGCGCAAUGGGGGAAACCCUGACGCAGCAACGCCGCGUGGAGGAUGAAGCCCUUUGGGGCGUAAACUCCUUUCGACUCGGACGAUAAUGACGGUACGAGUGGAAGAAGCACCGGCUAACUCUGUGCCAGCAGCCGCGGUAAUACAGAGGGUGCGAGCGUNGUUCGGAAUUAUUGGGCGUAAAGGGCGCGUAGGCGGUGCGGUAAGUCACCUGUGAAAUCUCCUGGCUUAACUGGGAGCCUGCAGGCGAAACUACCGUGCUGGAGUGUG
RNAcentral lists this ribosomal RNA (583 nucleotides) under uncultured bacterium. RNAcentral's name for it is "bacterial SSU rRNA". It matches the Rfam family "Bacterial small subunit ribosomal RNA", at positions 35 to 650 of the family's 1533-position model. The record is from RNAcentral.